RNAcentral lists this transfer RNA (72 nucleotides) under Camelus bactrianus (Bactrian camel). It matches the Rfam family "tRNA". From Rfam's summary of the family: Transfer RNA (tRNA) molecules are approximately 80 nucleotides in length. RNAcentral also lists the same sequence under 1 other name. Lineage: Eukaryota; Metazoa; Chordata; Mammalia; Artiodactyla; Camelidae. The record is from Rfam by way of RNAcentral.
GAGGGUAUAGCUCAGUGGCAGAGUGCGUGCUUAGCAUGCAUGAGGUCCUGGGUUUGGUCCCCAGUACCGGUA